Molecule: transfer RNA, 73 nt
Filed under: Ovis aries (sheep)
Lineage: Eukaryota; Metazoa; Chordata; Mammalia; Artiodactyla; Bovidae
Rfam family: tRNA
About the family: Transfer RNA (tRNA) molecules are approximately 80 nucleotides in length. Their secondary structure includes four short double-helical elements and three loops (D, anti-codon, and T loops).
Source: Rfam by way of RNAcentral
UCCUUGGGGGCCCAGUGGCUAAGACUCUGCACUCCCAAUGCAGGGGGCCUGGGUUCAAUCCCUGGUCAGGGAA